This 103-nucleotide small nuclear RNA is filed under the name Amborella trichopoda. Lineage: Eukaryota; Viridiplantae; Streptophyta; Magnoliopsida; Amborellales; Amborellaceae. The record is from RNAcentral.
GUCUCUUUGGAGACAUCCUAUAAAAUUAGAACGAUACAGAUAAGAUUAGCAUGGCCUUUGCGCAAGGAUGACACUAACAAAUCGAAAAAUGGUCCAAUUUUUU